Molecule: ribosomal RNA, 105 nt
Filed under: Cebus imitator (Panamanian white-faced capuchin)
Lineage: Eukaryota; Metazoa; Chordata; Mammalia; Primates; Cebidae
Source: RNAcentral
GGCUGCAGUGAAAACACUGGCAGUGGGGGCCAGGAAGCUAAGCAGGGUCAAGCCUGGCAGGGACUUGGUUGGGGGACUGCGUGAAAAGACUAGGGGCUGUAGUCU